RNAcentral lists this small RNA (25 nucleotides) under Arabidopsis thaliana (thale cress). RNAcentral's name for it is "ATSL009800". The record is from RNAcentral. Lineage: Eukaryota; Viridiplantae; Streptophyta; Magnoliopsida; Brassicales; Brassicaceae.
UUUUUAUUUUAUUUUUCUUCCAUUU